Molecule: unclassified non-coding RNA, 314 nt
Filed under: plant metagenome
Description: partial contains 5.8S ribosomal RNA, internal transcribed spacer 2, and large subunit ribosomal RNA
Rfam family: 5.8S ribosomal RNA (bases 1-105)
Source: RNAcentral
GAAAUGCGAUAAUUAAUGUGAAUUGCAGAAUUCAGUGAAUCAUCGAGUCUUUGAACGCAUAUUGUGCCCCCUGGUAUUCCGGGGGGCAUGCCUGUCCGAGCGUCAUUGCUGCCCUCAAGCACGGCUUGUGUGUUGGGCUUCCGUCCCUGGCAACGGGGACGGGCCCAAAAGGCAGUGGCGGCACCAUGUCUGGUCCUCGAGCGUAUGGGGCUUUGUCACCCGCUCCCGUAGGUCCAGCUGGCAGCUAGCCUCGCAACCAAUCUUUUUAACCAGGUUGACCUCGGAUCAGGUAGGGAUACCCGCUGAACUUAAGC